Molecule: ribosomal RNA, 351 nt
Filed under: Stenophyella sp. WCW-2003c
Lineage: Eukaryota; Metazoa; Arthropoda; Insecta; Hemiptera; Pachygronthidae
Description: eukaryotic LSU rRNA
Rfam family: Eukaryotic large subunit ribosomal RNA
Source: RNAcentral
UCUAGCAUGUGCGCGAGUCAUUGGGUGCAAAACCUAAAGGCGUAAUGAAAGUGUCAGAGGGCGCUUGCGCCCUCAGUGGGAGGAUGGGUUUCCGGCCCCCCGGCCGGUGCCCCGCACUCCCGGGGCGUCUCAUUCUCGUUUCGAGUCGAGACGCACCAGGAGCGCACACGCUGGUACCCGAAAGAUGGUGAACUAUGCCUGGCCAGGACGAAGCCAGGGGAAACCCUGGUGGAGGUCCGAAGCGAUUCUGACGUGCAAAUCGAUCGUCUGAGCUGGGUAUAGGGGCGAAAGACCAAUCGAACCAUCUAGUAGCUGGUUCCUUCCCAAAAGANGACUCGGNGGGCGGNUUCC